RNAcentral lists this long non-coding RNA (1209 nucleotides) under Astyanax mexicanus (Mexican tetra). Its description in RNAcentral is "lncRNA (ENSAMXG00005012673.1)". The record is from RNAcentral. Lineage: Eukaryota; Metazoa; Chordata; Actinopteri; Characiformes; Acestrorhamphidae.
CUAGUGGAAACUCUGGACUGGGGUACCUGCUGAUGUCCAUCACUACUUCCCUUUCACACGUCUAGAAGAAAUGAACCGCACUUCACAACCCUGCAGCAAUAAUCAGAAUUUCACAUUAAGCUUUUACAUGCAAAUGACCUAAUGAUCUCGAGAGUGUGCAGGUAGGGAAUGGAAACUUCCUGCGUGCCUUAUGGGGAUGUGUGUGUGUGUGUGUGUGUGUAUGGGUGUGUGUUUAGUCUUUCGUUUCUCUACAGUAGCACGCUCUCGUAGCCAGACUUCGUGGUGAACAUCGUCCUGCACGGUUUCUACAGCAGAUCCACUUUAUUUAACCUCUCGUCUGCCACUGGAACGGGUUCUAACCUUCUAAUCUAAAACCUGAAGCUUGCAGGAUUUGUAAUGAAAGUUUUGCUGUUCGAUUCAACAACUCUAUAAUCAACAGGGUCUGCUGUAGUUCACUCGAUGCAAAAAGUACAGAGACAAAGGAAUUAUAUCAUCUAAGCUGUGCUGAAGUGAAGAUGAAGACUUCCUGCCUACAUACGACCCUCCUGCUCCUCUUCCUCCUCGGUGGCGCCCUCCCUGAGAAGCAGUGCAAAGACAACAGCCCAAUAAUUCAGCAAGCGGUGGUGAAAGGCAACGUUUCUGUGCUAUGUCCCAUCUUUACCACAGAAGAAAUGACCUUCAUUCUGCACAGUAGCGCUGAGAACUGCGCUGUGACCAGGAACUUCAGCAUUGCGAGACAUAAGCACCAAGUUUGCGGGACUUCAGCCCUACAUAUCACUCACCAGCUGAAUCCUGAGGACAACAGUACCAAAUUUGUUCUUUACAACGUGACUACAAAUCAGACGGGACUGUACACCUGUACAGCUAAAAAGAUCUUCCCUCCCCCACUGCUGCAUGUUAAAGAGGAGCCUCAAACCAUAGUAAUUGUUCAAGGUAUGGCUGGAUGACAAUCAAGUAUUAAUGAUAUUAUAGAGUAACCAGAGGUAAAGUGCGUAAUGGGGCCAUGCCAUAGUCGCGUUAGGGACAUUUGGAACUUUAUUAUAAACAGGGGAUUGUGUGAAAUGCCGGCCAAAGAACAGCAGUUCCAUCAUCAAUCUGAGGCGGCUCUUAUCAACUCUUAUAUUAUCCAAACUACACAAACAAAACACCAAAAAAUAUUAUACAGCAAAAUCCACAGUUAAUCCUGCAAAAACAACCAAUUAAUCAGCU